Molecule: long non-coding RNA, 3714 nt
Filed under: Pelobates cultripes (western spadefoot toad)
Lineage: Eukaryota; Metazoa; Chordata; Amphibia; Anura; Pelobatidae
Source: RNAcentral
UGUUAAGAAUACAGAGUUUUACUGCAUUUUUUAAGAAAAGAAAUACAGUUAAAAAGCUCAGUCUAUAAAAAAAAAAAAUAUUGUUAAGUAUUAGCCGUUAUAAGCAUGUACAGUAAGUAAAUUAAAAAAAUAUUUGUUCAGAAUACAUAUUUAAUUAAUAACAUUAUUUACAUUAUUUAUUUACUCUGCAAAAUCUCCAUAUUAUUUCUGUAGUUAAGACGGGGCAAAAUAUAACAAAGAAACAGGGCUGUGGAACCGCACUCAAUCCCUAAGGUGAUGUGAAUGUGGGUGCAACCAGGCCGGUCCCAGUGCCAAGAACCAAUUACUUGAUAGAACGAAAAAUAGAAAGAGGUCCAGGCACUCCAGGAUUCAAAGAAGGCAAUUUAUUAAACCCACCGCCAAUCACAAUGUUUCGACCUGUACGGUCUUCAUCAAGCUUUGUCAAGUGACAAACCAAAAUUUGAUAUAUCUUUAUCAGAAGAGCAAUAGACAAUACACCACGCAUAAUAUUGUAUGUAAAAGGAACAUACUAGUUGUAAAAAUACAAUUUGUUUUUUUUUUGUUUGAAGUGUUCUUUUGGUACUUUAGAUUACUAUUUGUAAUAAAAAAUAUUUUAAAAAAACAUUAAACUUUCCUGUAGUCCAGAGCCGGUUCAAAAUCCCCACUGCAUCCUAAUUGUCCUCCAGUAAAAUCAUCUAUCCUGAUUACUUUUGUUAUAGGCCAUGAUAUACCAAUCCCAUGCUUCCCUAUGAGAAGCAUUGAAUCCACUGAUUUCUUAUAGAAAAGCACUGGUUGCACACAGCAUCUGGCAUCAGCAUCCUUUUUCUGCCGACUUCAAACAUCAAAUAGAUUCAAUAAUUGAAUCCAUUUCUGCCAGAAGCUUCGAGUAGCCAGCAGUAGGUUGUGCAUUGCAACGUAUUCAGUGUCGUUUCGUAGAAUGUUUUCAUUUGCAAGGAUGCAGGGGCAGCAUCUAUGCCCCUAAAUCAUUUCAUAAGAGUGAAGUAAUGUGGUGCUUGAAAUGCCCCUUUAAAUCUCUUUUUCUUAAAGGACCACUAUAGGCACCCAGACCACUUCAGCUCAAUGAAGUGGUCUGGGUGCCAGGUCCCCCUAGUUUUAACCCUUCAGCUGAAAACAUAGCAGUUCCAGAGAAAGAGGCACUUCCGCGAUUCUCAGUGUGGAAAUCGCAUUGAACUCAUGCAUCGUGAGUUCAGACCCCCAUAGGAAAGCAUUGAGUAAUGCUAUCCUAUGGGCGGUUUGAAUGCGCGUGUGGCUCUUGCCGCGCUUGCACAUUCGGCUCCACUCAAGUGCUGACGUCGGCAGGGGGAGGAGAGGUCACAAGCGCCGAGGGAGCCCGGCGCUGGAUUAAGGUAAAUGGCUGAACGUGUUUUAACCCCUUCAGCCAGCGGGAGGGGGACCCUGAGGGAGGGCAGCGAGGGGGCUAGUAACCUUGUAGUGCCAGGAAAACUGGUUUGUUUUCUUGGCACUAUAGUGCUCCUUUAAAGGCAAUUUUUUGGAACCUGAAAAGUAUCAAGGAGUAGGAAAGUCAUCCCCAAACCCACUAAAAUAAAUAAUUUGCCAAUUUAUUGAUAAAGACUUAAUUAACUCAAUUCAACUCUAAGUUCCUGUUUUCUGUGUAUCAUUUAUUGUAAUGUUUUUGUAAAUUUUGAAAAUUUUAAAUGUAAAAGUAUUUACAGCUCUUUUUUAAAUUCUGGCCUUAAUAACAUCUAAUGUUUACAUCUAUAAGAGUAAUAAUUAUCUUUAUAGUAAAAUACAAUUUGUACAUUACUUGAAGUUCUCUAAUAGAAGACUCUCUUGUUGACAAACUUGAAGUUCUUUGUUAGGCUUGAUGGAUAAAAGGAAAAGAAGCACAAUUUGAAUUUAGAUAUUCACUUGAAGGAAAAUUCACUGUAAAAUAUUCACUAUACAUCGCCGGGAACUGUUGGGGUGCUUAGGAUAUCUGCCCACAGGUAUUUUUUUAAAUAGUAAUUUCAACAAAAUGUACUUAAAAUUCAGUAGUCAUCAAAUCAGGUUGAGAAAGUUGUGACACAAAAAUAUUCAGAUACAUAACAGAAUCCUUAAAGCAAAUGUUGUAAUACAAGAAAAAUGGGGGGAAAGGCACAAAUCAAAAUGUAUUUAUUUUAACCAUUUUAUGUUGCUUGUUUUUUUCUCUACACCUAUAUUUAUGAGUCGCGUGUAAUGAGGUGCAAUAGUAGAAAGAUGCAAAAAGCAAUCUCAUUCAACAUUAACACUCUCAUUGUUUGAUUGCAUGCUGUUUAUUAACAAUGCACUCAUUAUCCCCUACCCUUGUAGAUUUCUUUUGCAUUUUAAUUACAAUUAGAUGGAGGAUUAGGUUCUUUUUUUUCCUGCUUUCAACAAUAUGGCACAGGACACAGGUUCAAAUCCAACCAUUUGGAGCAGGGCAAAAAAACAAGACACUCGAAUAUACGCUGUAUCAACUUCUAGAACCUAGAACCUGCAUCCGUUAGUGUACUGUCAGUGAACGGGAAAAGUGAAAAGAAUAAUCAAAACUGCUGAUUGAUAUUGCCGGGGUGAUUUGUUGGGUUGGCAAAUAGGCAACUCCAAUGGUCUUAAACCAUCAUCCGUUGAAUGUAUAGCUUCUGUCACAGCACACAACCGUCUUUAGCUAAAAUAACUCCAUACUACAUAAAAAUAAAAAUAUAUGAGCAUUAGAAAUUAAAACAAUUACCGGUAGUAUACAUAUAAAACGGCUAAUGCAAUCAAACACAUACAGGAUUAUUUACUAAACUUGAAUAUUAGCUAAUUAAAUCAAAAUUUUAAAAUUGAGCCUGAAAUAGCCAGAUUGUGACUAUAACCUAGUAGACAAUUCUUUUUUUAAAAAGCUAUUUUUGCCUAAGUUUUUACAUUUACUUUUAAGUUAUUUCUCUUACUUUUGGAGUUUAGUAAAUAACCCUGAUAGUGUUGAUGUAAGAGCUGUCCGUGAUACUUAAAUAACACAUUGUCAAUUCUAUCAUUCUUUCUAAUCCAAGAAGGAAGCCAACAUCCGCAUGUAAAGUACACACAUACAUAAAACCUAGUACUUAAAUGGCUUUUCAUUUACCCCACAAUUUCACUUAGUCAUGCUGAUCACACGGUGGUAACAUCUUAAUGUUUAUUGAAUGUAAAAACCUGGAACUUUUGUUUUAACAAAAGAAAAAAAAACUCUGAUUACUAAUUUAUUUGCUUCCUUUUUACAUCUCAUAAUUCUUCCUAAUUUAGUCUAAUGGAUGCUGAGUAACAGUAUCUUUCUUCUUUUUUUUUUUUUUUAAGAGUACUUUAAAGAGUACUUUGGUUAUGAGUUGUGGACAUUGGUUGCGUCUUGUGAUGUGAAUACACUGCCAACAUUAUAACGAAGAUGAAUGCCAUGUUUGGAGUCUAAUGAGGGAACAUCAAAAUGAAUGUUUAUGUCUAAUAAAUGUAUGUAUGUAAGAGCAACUGCUACUUUAAUAGUUUUCUAAUCUGAGUGAUUUUGUGCAUAUCUAACAAGAGAAAAAAAAACUUUUAUAUUUAUUUCUAUAGAACAAUGUUCAUUUGUAAUGUCACAAAUCCUGUAGGCUAGAACAAAUUCAUCACUUUGUUUUAACUUUGAUUGUACUAAAUGUUAAAAUUGCUGAUGUUUGCUUUAUGGAAAUCAAUAUUCAAGCUGUAACUUUGAUACAGACAAAUAUUUGAACACAUCGCUUUAAUAAAUUGAAU